This is a long non-coding RNA of Lolium perenne, 2126 nucleotides long. RefSeq lists it as uncharacterized. The record is from RefSeq and is a predicted model, not a curated record. Lineage: Eukaryota; Viridiplantae; Streptophyta; Magnoliopsida; Poales; Poaceae.
GAUCCCAAUAAUUUAGAAGCUUUUGGAUAGGAUUGGUGUGCAUCCCCGAUGUGGUGGGCCUUAUUCUUCUCCCUCCCCAAAUCCUUCCCACGAUCUCCUCCUCUGAACCCCUCCCUGCCUCUCUGGUUAAUCUCCACAUCCAGCGGCCUCCCUCUAAGAGCUGCUUCGUGGACGAGAUCCUGCGUGAGGAGGCCGUGGACGAAGCAGCCACACGGAGGAGUAGGAGUAGGCUUGGAGUUGCGCCAGCGAUUGAGGCGACUAGGGUUGCCCCGGGAGUUCUGCAUAGGGGCAGAAUGGUGUCGCGGCGGGUGGGGAAUCAAUGGAAGAGACCGAUUGGGUGCAGUGUCCGUGGGCAGCAGUGUGUGAGGAGUUCAGAACUGGCAGGAAUCGUCGCGAUGACCGCGGUGUCGGUGGCUAUUCGGUGGAGGAGGCAGCCGUUGUGCCAUGUCGGCGAGAAGCAUGCAGCAGCGGACCCGGCGAGGAUGGAGACAGCGGCGAAACCAGCGACUGCGCGUGCGAUAGUGCAGGCCGCCAUGUACGGCAGCGGCCGCGGAAGCGAGAGAUUGGAUAGCAAGAUCCCCGUCAAGAUACAGUCCGAAAUCUUCAGCACAGUAUCUGUCCCGAGAGGCAUGCGACAUAGGAUGUAUAUGGCGUGAUCACAAACCAGAUUGCUACAGACUCCCAGUGGUAAAUAUAAUCACUUCACUGUAUUAUUAGCUCCAGAUUAAUUACUUCAACAGAAGAAAAUCUCAGAUUAGUACUUGCAGCCACCUUCCUUGAUUUAAAUGGGAAUUUGAAUUGUUAUCACAAGAUUGGUUUUUGGAAUGGAACAAAUGAGUCAGACCAGAAUGUGAUAGAAAUGGUAGAACAGAUGGACAGAAAAGCUGUGUACUGACUCCCAUCCCCAACAAAAAAGAGUUAUUGUGUCAAUCGGAAAGAAACUCUACAACUUACAAUUUCUCUUGAACAGGUAUUUCACCUCUCAGACUAUUCUUUGAAUCUAUUAACACAAGAAGCGGCAGCUUCAAACAACAGAAUAGAAAAUUAGGUGUUGAAUUUAUAUAUAAAAGAGCUCUGUUUUUCUAACUCCUAAACAAAAAAGGACAUAUUCUGAUAGUGUUAUUAGUGGUAAAGAAAUAGACUUAGAUUCUUCUCCGAAUUGUCUGUCCAUUAGUUUCUUCAUACUACAGUUUGGAAGAAUUUGGAGGAGCCUUCUAAUGACUGCUAGAGUUCUUUCCUUUUUAGUCAGGUCAUUCUUUGUCUUGAAUGAAAAUUUUCUUAUUUUUUUCCAUGUUAUAUCUCAAAACUCACAAGUACUAUCUUCUGACAUGUUAAGUCGUGCUGAUUAUAUUUUCCCUGUCUGAAGUAGACCUCUUGAACAUGUCAACCUAGGCAUCUGCUGUGAUUUUCACUAGCUUUGAUUGAGUACAUAUUGCAGUCUGUUUGUUUUGAAGUAAGUGUAUUGUGAUUAAAAUAGGGAAUACCAUGUAUUUAACAAAAAUUUGUUUAUCUAAACAAGUAUAUAUGCAGCAUUACAAAUAUAUCCAGAAAGAUAUUAUAGCAUUCGCCCGGGAGACCAAGAUGCAAAGUGUCAAGAAGCAGUGUAAUAUAAAAAGCGCACAUCAUUUGUCUGAGCUAGCACUUACUGAGAAGAUAUUCGUGCAAACAGCAAAAUCUGACAUCCAGCAACAGGUAAGGGAGCCUGAAAGAGGGAUGAAAUGAAGUAUUCAAACUAAUGAAGCAGACAGUCUGCAUCGAGGCUGAAUGUCUACGGAAAGAGGAAUUACACUGACUGUUCCAGUUCCUAGAGUGCUUUGUUAGACAAGGAGAAGGAUCCCUUAGAGAGGGAGAAAAGAGGCAUGUGACAUGGCUCCGCAAAGAGACAUAAUUGACAUGUAAUACGCCAAGGAAAGCAUCGAAAUAAAGAGAUGACACAGAAACAUUGUAUUUAAUUAGGCCAUCUAUUGAGGAAUAUACAUACAUGUUUCCAGUACUGAAACUCACUUUGUCGAUUUUGUAAUGUAUCAAAAUUGAUAUUAGCGAACAUGGUACUUUGCUACAGGAUCUCAUUGCACCUAAGGUGGUUUUCUAUUCAGGGAUUGAACCUAAGGUGGUUUAUAAAAGUA